GACCGUUGGCUGAAUGGCUUAGGCGGAGGCCUGCAAAACCUCCUUAUGUGAGUUCGAACCUCAUGCGGUCGUCCA
Molecule: transfer RNA, 75 nt
Filed under: Salmonella phage bastian
Lineage: Duplodnaviria; Heunggongvirae; Uroviricota; Caudoviricetes; Demerecviridae
Description: tRNA-Cys
Rfam family: tRNA
About the family: Transfer RNA (tRNA) molecules are approximately 80 nucleotides in length. Their secondary structure includes four short double-helical elements and three loops (D, anti-codon, and T loops). Further hydrogen bonds mediate the characteristic L-shaped molecular structure. tRNAs have two regions of fundamental functional importance: the anti-codon, which is responsible for specific mRNA codon recognition, and the 3' end, to which the tRNAs corresponding amino acid is attached (by aminoacyl-tRNA synthetases). tRNAs cope with the degeneracy of the genetic code in two manners: having more than one tRNA (with a specific anti-codon) for a particular amino acid; and 'wobble' base-pairing, i.e. permitting non-standard base-pairing at the 3rd anti-codon position.
Source: RNAcentral